CCUUUCAAUGCAGCAGAGUUGGGAUGGUUGAGUUUCUCGCCUUCUAACCCUGCCUGUAUUCUACCCUUGUUUCUCUCACAUCAUUAUUUCCUCGGCAGGUCUGCCUGCCGAGUGAAACCACUUAUAACCUAUUUAAUUUUCAAUCAGCGUCUGAAAACAAUAAUAAUUA
RNAcentral lists this unclassified non-coding RNA (169 nucleotides) under soil metagenome. RNAcentral's name for it is "partial internal transcribed spacer 1". The record is from RNAcentral.